Molecule: ribosomal RNA, 708 nt
Filed under: uncultured bacterium
Lineage: Bacteria
Description: bacterial SSU rRNA
Rfam family: Bacterial small subunit ribosomal RNA
Source: RNAcentral
GGAUAACACUGAGAAAUUGGUACUAAUACCCCAUAAUAUCAUAGAAGGCAUCUUUUAUGGUUGAAAAUUCCGAUGGUUAGAGAUGGGCAUGCGUUGUAUUAGCUAGUUGGUGGGGUAACGGCUCACCAAGGCGACGAUACAUAGGGGGACUGAGAGGUUAACCCCCCACACUGGUACUGAGACACGGACCAGACUCCUACGGGAGGCAGCAGUGAGGAAUAUUGGUCAAUGGACGCAAGUCUGAACCAGCCAUGCCGCGUGCAGGAUGACGGCUCUAUGAGUUGUAAACUGCUUUUGUACGAGGGUAAACGCAGAUACGUGUAUCUGUCUGAAAGUAUCGUACGAAUAAGGAUCGGCUAACUCCGUGCCAGCAGCCGCGGUAAUACGGAGGAUUCAAGCGUUAUCCGGAUUUAUUGGGUUUAAAGGGUGCGUAGGCGGUUUGAUAAGUUAGAGGUGAAAUUUCGGGGCUCAACCCUGAACGUGCCUCUAAUACUGUUGAGCUAGAGAGUAGUUGCGGUAGGCGGAAUGUAUGGUGUAGCGGUGAAAUGCUUAGAGAUCAUACAGAACACCGAUUGCGAAGGCAGCUUACCAAACUAUAUCUGACGUUGAGGCACGAAAGCGUGGGGAGCAAACAGGAUUAGAUACCCUGGUAGUCCACGCAGUAAACGAUGAUAACUCGUUGUCGGCGAUACACAGUCGGUGACUAAG